AGCGUAUAUUAAAGUUGUUGCAGUUAAAAAGCUCGUAGUUGAAUUUCGGGGUUAGUAGGUUGGUCAUGCCUCUGGUAUGUACUGGUCUCACUGAUUCCUCCCUCUUGACGAACUGUAAUGUCAUUAAUUUGGUGUUGCAGGAAAUCAGGACUGUUACUUUGAAAAAAUUAGAGUGUUUAAAGCAGGCUAAGGCUUGAAUACAUUAGCAUGGAAUAAUGAAAUAGGACGUUUGAACCUAUUUUGUUGGUUUCUAGGAUCGACGUAAUGAUUAAUAGGGAUGGUUGGGGGCAUUAGUAUUCAAUUGUCAGAGGUGAAAUUCUUGGAUUUAUUGAAGACUAACUACUGCGAAAGCAUUAGCCAAGGAUGUUUUCAUUAAUCAAGAACGAAAGUUAGGGGAUCGAAGACGAUCAGAUACCGUCGUAGUCUUAACCAUAAACUAUGCCGACUAGGGAUCGGAUGAUGUUAAUUUUUUAAUGACUCAUUC
This 484-nucleotide ribosomal RNA is filed under the name uncultured Glomeromycotina. Its description in RNAcentral is "SSU rRNA". It matches the Rfam family "Eukaryotic small subunit ribosomal RNA", at positions 596 to 1081 of the family's 1831-position model. Lineage: Eukaryota; Fungi; Glomeromycota. The record is from RNAcentral.